GGCUAUUGGUAUACCACCCAACAGCUCUGAACAUACUGGAUCUCCUUUGGUUUUAGAAGCUAAGUAGGGUCAGGUCUGGCUAGUUCUUGGAUGGGAGACCAAACCGGAAGGGCAGAAAUCUCUAGGUA
Molecule: ribosomal RNA, 128 nt
Filed under: Pogona vitticeps (central bearded dragon)
Lineage: Eukaryota; Metazoa; Chordata; Lepidosauria; Squamata; Agamidae
Source: RNAcentral